UACAGAGGUGGCAAGCGUUGUUCGGAUUUACUGGGCGUAAAGGGUGCGUAGGCGGUUCUGUGUGUCGGAUGUGAAAUCCCACGGAUCAUCUGUGGAACGGCAUUCGAAACUGCAGGGCUUGAGUGCAGGAGAGGAAAGCGGAAUUCUCGGUGUAGCGGUGAAAUGCGUUGAUAUCGAGAGGAACGCCGGUGGCGAAGGCAGCUUUCUGGAAUGCAACUGACGCUGAGGCACGAAAGCCAGGGGAGCAAACAGG
Molecule: ribosomal RNA, 253 nt
Filed under: uncultured bacterium
Lineage: Bacteria
Description: partial 16S ribosomal RNA
Rfam family: Bacterial small subunit ribosomal RNA
Source: RNAcentral